This 1430-nucleotide ribosomal RNA is filed under the name uncultured bacterium. RNAcentral describes it as "bacterial SSU rRNA". It matches the Rfam family "Bacterial small subunit ribosomal RNA". The record is from RNAcentral.
AGAGUGUGAUCCUGGCUCAAGACGAACGCUGGCGGCGUGCCUAAUACAUGUAAGUCAAGCGAGCUUGCCUAGAUGAUUUUAGUGCUUGCUCUAAAUGAAACUAGAUACAAGCGAGCGGCGGACGGGUGAGUAACACGUGCGUAACCUGCCCAAGAGACUGUGAUAACACCUGAAAACAGAUGCUAAUACCGGAUAUCAACACUAGAGUCAUGUCUAGAGUUUGAAAGACGGUUCUGCUUUCACUCUUGGAUGGUCCUGAGGUGCAUUAGCUAGUUGGUAAGGUAACGGCUUCCCAAGGCAAUGAUGCAUAGCCGAGUUGAGAGACUGAUCGACCACCUUGGGACUGAGACCCGGCCCAAACUCCUACGGGAGGCAGCAGUAGGGAAUCUUCCACAAUGGACGAAAGUCUGAUGGAGCAACGCCGCGUGAGUGAAGAAGGGCUUCGGCUCGUAAAGCUCUGUUGGUAGUGAAGAAAGAUAGAGGUAGUAACUCGCCUUUAUUUGACGGUAAUUAGUUAGAGAGUCACGGCUAACUUCGUGCCAGCAACCGCGGUAAUUCGUAGGUGGCCAGCGUUGUCUGGAUUUAUUGGGCGUAAAGGGAGUGCAGGCGGUUCAAUAAGUUUGAUGUGAAAGCCUUCGGCUCCACCGGAGAAUUGCAUUAGAAACUGUUGAACUUGAGUUCAGAAGAGGAGAGUGGAACUCCAUGUGUAGCGGUGGAAUGCGUAGAUAUAUGGAAGAACACCAGUGGGGAAGGCGGCUCUCUGGUCUGCAACUGACGCUGAGGCUCGAAAGCAUGGGUAGCGAACAGGAUUAGAUACCCUGGUAGUCCAUGCCGUAAACGAUGAGUGCUAAGUGUUGGGAGGUUUCCGCCUCUCAGUGCUGCAGCUAACGCAUUAAGCACUCCGCCUGGGGAGUACGACCGCAAGGUUGAAACUCAAAGGAAUUGACGGGGGCCCGCACAAGCGGUGGAGCAUGUGGUUUAAUUCGAAGCAACGCGAAGAACCUUACCAGGUCUUGACAUCCAGUGCAAACCUAAGAGAUUAGGUGUUCCCUUCGGGGACGCCGAGACAGGUGGUGCAUGGCUGUCGUCAGCUCGUGUCGUGAGAUGUUGGGUUAAGUCCCGCAACGAGCGCAACCCUUGUCAUUAGUUGCCAUCAUUAAGUUGGGCACUCUAAUGAGACUGCCGGUGACAAACCGGAGGAAGGUGGGGAUGACGUCAAGUCAUCAUGCCCCUUAUGACCUGGGCUACACACGUGCUACAAUGGACGGUACAACGAGAAGCGAACCUGCGAAGGCAAGCGGAUCUCUUAAAGCUGUUCUCAGUUCGGACUGUAGGCUGCAACUCGCCUACACGAAGCUGGAAUCGCUAGUAAUCGCGGAUCAGCACGCCGCGGUGAAUAAGUUCCCGGCCCUUGUACACACCGCCCGUCA